CAGCCGUUGCACCGUUAAGCCGGGCCGGUGACGCCGGGCCUUUACGUCGCGCCUGUGAGCGGCCGAGGCCGAGCGGCCGCCCCUCGGGCUGCGAGACGUAAGCGGCGACCCCUCUCGGGCCUGGGCUCUUCCCUCGCGGCCCGGCCGGCCGGCGGCCUGGACCUGCGGCGGCGAGCGCCGGUCGCGGCGACGUCUGUGUGCGUGCUUGGAGACAUUACCUCAUCCCUCAAGAUUGCUCGCUGCAAACACAACGCUGAGAAAUGGCCCAAGUAAAGCGUGAUCAGGGUCUUGCAUUCUUGGCACAUCUAGGAAGAACGUGCAAGGAUGCGAAUUGUGAAUCGCUUCUCCAAACAAUCCAUUAUUUGGGCAGGAUUCUGUAGGGAAAACUCAUCACCACUUCAUAUAGCAUCAGCCAUGCGGCUCAACUGAGGGCUGUUGGAUCCACUUCUAAGAUGACUCACUGCUGGCUGGCUGUUAAUGCUGGGUUGAGGCCCUGGGGCCUUGGUUUGUCUCCACAUUGGCCUCUCCGUUAGGCCUGGACUUCCUCACAAAAUGGUGGACGAGUUCUAAGGGUAAACAUCGCAAGAGAGAAAACCAGACAAGAGAGCAAAACUUGCCUUUUGUGACCUAGCCUCAGAAAUCGCAUAGUGUCUAUUAAUUGAAGCAGUCCCAAAGUCCCACCUGGGUUCAAGGGGAGGAGAUACUGACUACACUGUCCUUGAUGGGAGGGUGGUAAGAUUCUGGAAGAGAGAUGGGACCAGAAAUGUUGUUGCAGCCAUUUUGGGGAAGUGCAAUCUACCACAACGCAUAUGUAUGUACUCCUAGGC
Molecule: long non-coding RNA, 827 nt
Filed under: Pan troglodytes (chimpanzee)
Lineage: Eukaryota; Metazoa; Chordata; Mammalia; Primates; Hominidae
Description: long non-coding RNA NONPTRT001154
Source: RNAcentral